CCGAACCGGGUCCCCGAAGCGGACCCCACCACGCGCUCACCGUUUCAUUACCUCAGACUCGUAGUCAUCAGCCGGAUAAGACAUGGCUACGGCGCUCCAGAAGCCCGUGGAAGAGAGCGGAAGAAGUAUUCCGCGCCUGCUCGGGCCGGACCGGAAGUCCCGCCCAAUUUAACCUGCCCGGAAGCCUUUCCGGGCUCGCUGGGGGACCGAUAGAGCUCUGUUUGGAAGGACGAAUUUCCCAAACUAUCGGAGUUCCUUCCUCCCCACAAAAACAGACAUUUCAAAGGAUAUUAUUCUGGGAUGUUGGUGUACGCGCAGAAAUAGGCGCCGGCAGGAGAUAAAGGGGAAACCCGACCUGUUCGCUCACGUCUGCGGUCUCAUGGAUGGCGGAGGCAGGAGGAUCGCAGCAAGUUCGAGGGUAACCUGAGUUAUUUCCAGGCCAAUAUGAUUAUAGAGCGAGGUCCUAAAAACAGAACAACGGAAAA
Molecule: long non-coding RNA, 485 nt
Filed under: Rattus norvegicus (Norway rat)
Lineage: Eukaryota; Metazoa; Chordata; Mammalia; Rodentia; Muridae
Description: long non-coding RNA NONRATT027105
Source: RNAcentral